Molecule: ribosomal RNA, 460 nt
Filed under: uncultured Gammaproteobacteria bacterium
Lineage: Bacteria; Pseudomonadati; Pseudomonadota; Gammaproteobacteria
Description: bacterial SSU rRNA
Rfam family: Bacterial small subunit ribosomal RNA
Source: RNAcentral
GGCGGCAUGCCUAACACAUGCAAGUCGAACGGUAACAGGCCCGCAAGGGUGCUGACGAGUGGCGGACGGGUGAGGAAUACAUCGGAAUCUGCCCGGUUGUGGGGGAUAACGUAGGGAAACUUACGCUAAUACCGCAUACGACCGAANGGUGAAAGCGUGGGAUCCGCAAGGACCUCGCGCAGCCGGAUGAGCCGAUGUCGGAUNAGCUAGUUGGCGGGGUAAAGGCCCACCAAGGCGACGAUCCGUAGCUGGUCUGAGAGGAUGAUCAGCCACACUGGGACUGAGACACGACCCAGACUCCUACGGGAGGCAGCAGUGGGGAAUAUUGGACAAUGGGGGCAACCCUGAUCCAUCAAUGCCGCGUGUGUGAAGAAGGCCUCCGGGUUGUANAACACUUUUAUCCGGAACGAAACGCGCAGGGUCAAUAGCCUUGUGAACUGACGGUACCGGAGGAAUAAGC